AAAAUAGAAGUGUUCGAGGUUUAUUAUUAUUUGUCACUGUCGAGUAUGAUAAUUAUUAUACCACGUAAUAUUGUGUUUUAUAGAACGCUUGUCCGCCCGAGCGAUAUUUGUUUAGCGCCGCGAGUCAUUAGGCGCAGGUAGCCGUAUGAUGUUAUUCGCGACUAAAUAUUAUUUCAACACUUGAAACAAACGGUCGCGCGUCCGGGGAAUUGUUUCGUAUGAUAAUAAUAAUAAUUGUAUUAUUUUUUUUUUUUUUUUAAACUAUCCCACGCGAGUAGUUAGGUAUUAUAUAAUCCCGCGUGUACGCUGCCGAUUCAAACCGAAAUUUAUAUAGAAAAAACAGCGAUACGCGAGACAGGCGUUAUUAACAUUACAAUAUAG
This is a non-coding RNA of Cinara cedri, 381 nucleotides long. Lineage: Eukaryota; Metazoa; Arthropoda; Insecta; Hemiptera; Aphididae. The record is from the annotation of a GenBank genome assembly.